Molecule: RNase P RNA, 423 nt
Filed under: Planctomycetota bacterium
Lineage: Bacteria; Pseudomonadati; Planctomycetota
Description: Planctomycetes bacterium RNase P RNA component class A
Rfam family: Bacterial RNase P class A
About the family: Ribonuclease P (RNase P) is a ubiquitous endoribonuclease, found in archaea, bacteria and eukarya as well as chloroplasts and mitochondria. Its best characterised activity is the generation of mature 5'-ends of tRNAs by cleaving the 5'-leader elements of precursor-tRNAs.
Source: RNAcentral
CAGGCAGGCCAGGUGGUCGCUUCCGCUAGUCGGAAGAGGAAAGUCCGGGCUUCGCAGAGCAGGGCGGUCGGUAACACCGACCCACCGCAAGGUGAGGGAAAGUGCCACAGAGAGCAGACCGCCGAACGGCUGCCGAAAUCGGCAGUGCGUGGCAAGGGUGAAACGGUGAGGUAAGAGCUCACCAGCGGCCGAGGCGACUCGGCCGGCUUGGUAAACCCCGCCCGAAGCAAGGUCAAACAGGCGGAAAUGCAGCUCGCUCCGGCAAGACUGCAUGCGAGGUGGCUCGCCUCGCCAUCGACCGCCGGGUAGACCGCUCGAGCCGGCAAGCAAUUGUCGGCCUAGAUAAAUGACCACCCGCCGCGCCGUGGGGACAAGCGCCCGGCGGCGCAGCGACAGAACCCGGCUUAUCGGCCUGCCUGUCUU